This is a long non-coding RNA of Lactuca sativa (garden lettuce), 601 nucleotides long. RefSeq lists it as uncharacterized. Lineage: Eukaryota; Viridiplantae; Streptophyta; Magnoliopsida; Asterales; Asteraceae. The record is from RefSeq and is a predicted model, not a curated record.
UAAACCCACGAUUCCGUCGAGAUCUAGAAUUAAAUAUCUCCGACCGAUUUUGAGUGCACCAACUUCGCUCCUCUACAAUUCCGUCGAGAUCUAGAAUUAAAUUUCAUUCUCUCACAUCGCCACCGUAUAAAAGCCCUAGAACACUACCUCUUUGAUUUUUGCAUCGUCGUUCACCGGAGAAUUGGCCGAUCACAACGUUUGUUUGUUUGUUAUUUAUUUAUUUAUUUAUUUACAUUCAACGCUUCAUUUUCAGUCUUUCCAAUUCUCAGUUUCCCCGUCGGAAGGCGCUACUCGAUCCAAAGUUACAAAAUGGCAAUGCAAACCGAAGUUAGCACCUCCAAAGCUCUUAUCCUCGUCAUAGCAGACCAAAUUUAAAGGAAGGGUCUUCAUGACUCAUACAACAAAUGUUAUUUACAAGAUACUUUUAUCCAAUUAUGUGAAAUUCAACAAAGUUUCAGUUGACAAUAAGUUAUUUGAUGAACAAGACAUCCUUCGUUCUUAUCGAACAUUAACUUGUCCUAGACUAUGAUGGUGAGUUGAAUGUUUCUGUAACCUGGAUUGUGUAAAUUGGCAUAAUAUAUAACCUCUUUUUACUCUUUAA